UCGAGAAUCUUCGGCAAUGGACGAAAGUCUGACCGAGCGACGCUGCGUGAAGGAAGAAGGCCUUCGGGUUGUAAACUUCUGUCGUGUGGGAAGAACAUUGACGGUACCACACAAGAAAGGGGCACCUAACUCUGUGCCAGCAGGUGCGGUAAUACAGGGGCCCCGAGCGUUAUCCGGAAUCAUUGGGCGUAAAGCGUCCGCAGGCGGUUAUGUGCGUCUGCUGUUAAUAGCUGGGCUCAACCCAGUUGCUGCAGUGGAUACGACAUAACUAGAGGCAGGAAGAGGUAGACGGAACUCAUAGUGAAGCAGUGAAAUGCGUUGAUAUUAUGGGGAACACCAAUUGCGAAGGCAGUCUACUGGUCCUGUCCUGACGCUCAGGGACGAAAGCGUGGGGAGCGAAGCGGAUUAGAUACCCGCGUAGUCCACGCCGUAAACGAUGUCAACUAGGCAUUGGGAGUAUCGACCCUCUCAGUGUCGUAGA
Molecule: ribosomal RNA, 481 nt
Filed under: uncultured bacterium
Lineage: Bacteria
Description: bacterial SSU rRNA
Rfam family: Bacterial small subunit ribosomal RNA
Source: RNAcentral